This 477-nucleotide ribosomal RNA is filed under the name uncultured bacterium. Its description in RNAcentral is "partial 16S ribosomal RNA". It matches the Rfam family "Bacterial small subunit ribosomal RNA", at positions 30 to 507 of the family's 1533-position model. The record is from RNAcentral.
AUUGAACGCUGGCGGCAUGCCUUACACAUGCAAGUCGAACGGUAACAGGUUAAGCUGACGAGUGGCGAACGGGUGAGUAAUGUAUCGGAACGUGCCCUGUCGUGGGGGAUAACUGCUCGAAAGAGCAGCUAAUACCGCAUACGACCUGAGGGUGAAAGCGGGGGAUCGCAAGACCUCGCGCGAUUGGAGCGGCCGAUAUCAGAUUAGGUAGUUGGUGAGGUAAAGGCUCACCAAGCCGACGAUCUGUAGCUGGUCUGAGAGGACGACCAGCCACACUGGGACUGAGACACGGCCCAGACUCCUACGGGAGGCAGCAGUGGGGAAUUGUGGACAAUGGUCGCAAGCCUGAUCCAGCCAUGCCGCGUGCGGGAAGAAGGCCUUCGGGUUGUAAACCGCUUUUGUCAGGGAAGAAAAGGUUCUGGCUAAUACCUGGGACUCAUGACGGUACCUGAAGAAUAAGCACCGGCUAACUACGUG